RNAcentral lists this ribosomal RNA (596 nucleotides) under Colletotrichum theobromicola. RNAcentral's name for it is "eukaryotic LSU rRNA". The stretch from base 233 to 386 matches the Rfam family "5.8S ribosomal RNA". The record is from RNAcentral. Lineage: Eukaryota; Fungi; Ascomycota; Sordariomycetes; Glomerellales; Glomerellaceae.
UAGAGGAAGUAAAAGUCGUAACAAGGUCUCCGUUGGUGAACCAGCGGAGGGAUCAUUACUGAGUUUACGCUCUACAACCCUUUGUGAACAUACCUACAACUGUUGCUUCGGCGGGUAGGGUCCCCGUGACCCUCCCGGCCUCCCGCCCCCCCGGGCGGGUCGGCGCCCGCCGGAGGAUAACCAAACUCUGAUUUAACGACGUUUCUUCUGAGUGGUACAAGCAAAUAAUCAAAACUUUUAACAACGGAUCUCUUGGUUCUGGCAUCGAUGAAGAACGCAGCGAAAUGCGAUAAGUAAUGUGAAUUGCAGAAUUCAGUGAAUCAUCGAAUCUUUGAACGCACAUUGCGCCCGCCAGCAUUCUGGCGGGCAUGCCUGUUCGAGCGUCAUUUCAACCCUCAAGCCCUGCUUGGUGUUGGGGCCCUACAGCUGAUGUAGGCCCUCAAAGGUAGUGGCGGACCCUCCCGGAGCCUCCUUUGCGUAGUAACUUUACGUCUCGCACUGGGAUCCGGAGGGACUCUUGCCGUAAAACCCCCCAAUUUUCCAAAGGUUGACCUCGGAUCAGGUAGGAAUACCCGCUGAACUUAAGCAUAUCAAUA